UACGAGAGGCCCAAACGUUAUUCGGAUUUACUGGGCUUAAAGAGUUCGUAGGCCGCGCGGAAAGUAGGGUGUGAAAGCCCUCGGCUCAACCGAGGAACUGCGCUCUAAACUACCGUGCUUGAGGAACCUAGAGGUGAGCAGAACUGAUGGUGGUGCGGUGAAAUGCGUUGAUAUCAUCAGGAAUACCGGAGGCGAAGGCGGCUCACUGGGGGUUUUCUGACGCUGAGGAACGAAAGCGUGGGGAGCGAACAGG
Molecule: ribosomal RNA, 253 nt
Filed under: uncultured bacterium
Lineage: Bacteria
Description: partial 16S ribosomal RNA
Rfam family: Bacterial small subunit ribosomal RNA
Source: RNAcentral